RNAcentral lists this signal recognition particle RNA (98 nucleotides) under Alphaproteobacteria bacterium. RNAcentral's name for it is "signal recognition particle sRNA small type". It matches the Rfam family "Bacterial small signal recognition particle RNA". From Rfam's summary of the family: The signal recognition particle (SRP) is a universally conserved ribonucleoprotein involved in the co-translational targeting of proteins to membranes. Archaeal SRP consists of a 7S RNA and homologues of the eukaryotic SRP19 and SRP54 proteins. The record is from RNAcentral. Lineage: Bacteria; Pseudomonadati; Pseudomonadota; Alphaproteobacteria.
GAAGGUUGGCGGAUGGACGGAUCCCUCGCCAAUCCGGUCAGGUCCGGAAGGAAGCAGCCGUAACGAGAUCGGUCCGGGUCGUCCGUUCAGCCUUCCGC